RNAcentral lists this ribosomal RNA (305 nucleotides) under uncultured bacterium. RNAcentral's name for it is "bacterial SSU rRNA". It matches the Rfam family "Bacterial small subunit ribosomal RNA", at positions 335 to 628 of the family's 1533-position model. The record is from RNAcentral.
ACUCCUACGGGAGGCAGCAGUGGGGAAUAUUGCACAAUGGGCGCAAGCCUGAUGCAGCCAUGCCGCGUGUGUGAAGAAGGCCUUCGGGUUGUAAAGACUUUCAGUCGUGAGGAAGGGUAGUAGUAGUUAAUAGCUGCUAUUAUUUGACGUUAGCGAACAGAAGAAGCGACCGGCUAACUCCGUGCCAGCAGCCGCGGUAAUACGGAGGGUGCGAGCGUUAAUCGGAAUUACUGGGCGUAAAGCGCAUGCAGGUGGUUUGUUAAGUCAGAUGUGAAAGCCCGGGGCUCAACCUCGGAAUUGCAUUG